RNAcentral lists this ribosomal RNA (604 nucleotides) under uncultured fungus. RNAcentral describes it as "SSU rRNA". It matches the Rfam family "Eukaryotic small subunit ribosomal RNA", at positions 737 to 1343 of the family's 1831-position model. Lineage: Eukaryota; Fungi. The record is from RNAcentral.
GGGGAACCAGGACUUUUACUUUGAAAAAAUUAGAGUGCUCCAGGCAGGCCUAUGCUCGAAUACAUUAGCAUGGAAUAAUAGAAUAGGACGUGUGGUUCUAUUUUGUUGGUUUCUAGGACCGCCGUAAUGAUUAAUAGGGACAGUCGGGGGCGUCAGUAUUCAAUUGUCAGAGGUGAAAUUCUUGGAUCUAUUGAAGACUAACUACUGCGAAAGCAUUUGCCAAGGAUGUUUUCAUUGAUAAGGAACGAAAGUUAGGGGAUCGAAGACGAUCAGAUACCGUCGUAGUCUUAACUAUAAACUAUGCCGACUAGGGAUCGGACGAUGUUAUCUUUUGACGCGUUCGGCACCUUUCGAGAAAUCAAAGUGCUUGGGCUCCAGGGGGAGUAUGGUCGCAAGGCUGAAACUUAAAGAAAUUGACGGAAGGGCACCACCAGGGGUGGAACCUGCGGCUUAAUUUGACUCAACACGGGGAAACUCACCAGGUCCAGACACAGUGAGGAUUGACAGAUUGAGAGCUCUUUCUUGAUUCUGUGGGUGGUGGUGCAUGGCCGUUCUUAGUUGGUGGAGUGAUUUGUCUGCUUAAUUGCGAUAACGAACGAGACCU